RNAcentral lists this ribosomal RNA (233 nucleotides) under uncultured bacterium. Its description in RNAcentral is "partial 16S ribosomal RNA". It matches the Rfam family "Bacterial small subunit ribosomal RNA", at positions 794 to 1024 of the family's 1533-position model. The record is from RNAcentral.
UCCACGCCCUAAACGAUGCACACUAGUUGUUGCGAUGCUCGUCAUUGCAGUAAUACAGUUAACACAUUAAGUGUGCCGCCUGGGGAGUACGGUCGCAAGAUUAAAACUCAAAGGAAUAGACGGGGACCCGCACAAGCGGUGGAGCAUGUGGUUUAAUUCGAAAAUACGCGAAGAACCUUACCUAGACUUGAAAUCCUUGGAAUCCUGUAGAGAUACGGGAGUGCUAGUUUACU